GCCUUCAAAUGCUCACAGAGUGCAACAAAUCAGCACGACAUCAGCCGUCAGCCAUGAAGACCCUUUUCCUUCUUUUUGCUGCUGUCUUGUUCUUCAGUCAAAUUAUUCCAGGAAAUGCUGAGGUUGCACAAGAUACCCUGGAAUGCAAGAGGAGUCACUAUGGGUUCUGUAAAUAUGGCUAUUGCCCUGGGCAAACUGUGCCUACUGGAGGGACGUGUCAGUGGGGAAGACUGAUUUGCUGUAAAUCACCCUGGAGCCGGAGAGGGUGAUCAAGUCGACUGUAGACAAAACAAGACUUCUGGAUUCUGGAGAAAUACAUGCCUACUUUGGAAAGUGGUGGUUUCAGCUUCAACAUCAAGCAUAAGGAGCUACUUGUUUGGGCUGUAAACAGAUAUAAUGUUCUUCAAAGAAAUUCACACUCCUCUCCACCCCAUCAUCUCCUUUUACACAUAACCAGUUUUUGACUUGAGAAAUUUCAAAAGGCAUAUCAGCUAGAGUUCUCUCACAGAAUUUUGGGAAUGAAAGUCAAUCCCAAAUUAGGAAAUAAUCAGAUAAAUUUUAGAAAUAGACUGUAAUGUCAAAAAAUAUGGAUUAUGGAUAGUUUAAACAAAGGAGGCAAAAAGGAAGGGAAAUGAGAGAUUUAGAAAGUUUGUUUGCUUUUCUGGAAUUCUGUGGAAGAAAGUUACAUUUUUACUUACAAAAGAAAAAUUACAAAGCUAGCAUAAUCUAUUGCCUUGUGAUAUGCAUCAGAAUAUGCCUCGUUUAAAGAUCUGCACAACCAUGCACCUUCUGCUUCAUUUGCAUAUACUGGCUUCUUGUUCCUUCCAGCUUUUCCCCCCUGCCAUUUUCCUUUUUUUAUAUAUUAUGUAAUUUUUAUUAAAGAUGUUUAUAAAGGAAGAUAAAAAUUAAUACAAACUAAUAUCAAGUAAGACAAAGAAAAGAGUCCCUCUGAUGGGAGGAGAUGGGUGGUGACAAAUUUGAUAAAUAAAUAAAAGAAAGAAAAAGAAAGAAAUCAAAGAGAAAGCUGAAAGUUCAAGAAAGGGAAAAAAGGAAAAGAAAAAUAGAAAAGAAAAAAAAUGCAAAGAAGUGGCUUCUGAUCUUCUUUACAGCAGUUAUAAGUACAAUUAAAAAUUUGCCUCUUACUCUAUGGUUACAACAUGGCUCUCUUCUUUCUAUAAUCUAUCAUGUCUAAUCAUCAAAACCAUAAAUCAUAAGUUCAUUUUUUUCUGUUUCAUGCAAAAAGUCCAUAUGUGGUUUCCAGGCAGCAAUAAAUGUAGGUAUUUCUCUGAUCAAAGAAGUCAAUUUAGCCCUCUCACCCCUGUCAUUUUUCAAAUACAUUGUGAGUUGUGAAGUCUGCAAUUUCAGGCAUGCACAUCUUCAAAUGCAGUUUAGGAAAAUCACCCAUGAGAGUUUGAACAUAAAAAAAAAAUAUGUAUGUAUUUGCACGGAGUGAUAUCUCCUUUUUUACUAUCAAUAUUUCUGAAUCCUGUAAAACCUUACUAACAAACUAAAAUAAAGUACAUAUCUUAAACAAA
This is a long non-coding RNA of Candoia aspera, 1535 nucleotides long. RefSeq lists it as uncharacterized. The transcript has 3 exons. The record is from RefSeq and is a predicted model, not a curated record. Lineage: Eukaryota; Metazoa; Chordata; Lepidosauria; Squamata; Candoiidae.